This 46-nucleotide antisense RNA is filed under the name Rhizobium sp. RU20A. Its description in RNAcentral is "ctRNA". It matches the Rfam family "ctRNA". Rfam says of the family: This family represents a group of ctRNAs (or counter-transcribed RNAs) from p42d and related plasmids. ctRNAs are small, highly structured, antisense sequences which are involved in negative regulation. Members of this family are known to bind to the mRNA of repC causing translational repression. The record is from Rfam by way of RNAcentral. Lineage: Bacteria; Pseudomonadati; Pseudomonadota; Alphaproteobacteria; Hyphomicrobiales; Rhizobiaceae.
AGAAAGGCUUCCGCAGCGGCAACGUUCGGAGGCUUUUUUCUUUUGC